This 79-nucleotide non-coding RNA is filed under the name unclassified sequences. RNAcentral describes it as "chrB RNA". It matches the Rfam family "chrB-a RNA". The record is from RNAcentral.
CUUAUGGGGACGUGCGAUGCUCCCCACGAGGCGACAUGCCGAAGUUAUCGCGUCCUGUCCAUUAUGGGGACGCUGCAUG